AAGCGAACAGCAGCAUUGUUGAAAGUGUUGCAUCACUACGCCAAUCAAUUUUACGACUGCGAGACAUAUCCAUAGAACUGGAUGGAGUUAAAGGGAGUGAAAAUUGGACUGCGUCAAUGUUCAGGCUUUCAAUAAAGGAUAC
Molecule: small nuclear RNA, 142 nt
Filed under: Aplanochytrium stocchinoi
Lineage: Eukaryota; Bigyra; Thraustochytrida; Thraustochytriidae
Description: partial Dictyostelium signal recognition particle
Source: RNAcentral